GUUAAUAGUAAAAUCUGGGAAUUAGAGGUCACAAGGAAAGCAGAGCGGUGAUGUCACGCAGGGCUUGGAAACCAGCCAUGGGGGCAUAGCCCUGAAUUUCAGGUAAGUUUGUGCUUGUUCAGGAGUGUCUAGGUUAGUCACAUUUAUGGGUAAGUACUAUCUUUCAGGUUAAUGGAGUACUGGAAUGCCUAGUGAAUAUACAUUCCUGCAGAUAGUUACAUCUCUUCACUUCACC
Molecule: non-coding RNA, 235 nt
Organism: Pelobates cultripes (western spadefoot toad)
Lineage: Eukaryota; Metazoa; Chordata; Amphibia; Anura; Pelobatidae
Source: the annotation of a GenBank genome assembly